CCUACGGGGGGCUGCAGUGGGGAAUAUUGGACAAUGGGCGAAAGCCUGAUCCAGCCAUGCCGCGUGUGUGAAGAAGGCCUUCGGGUUGUAAAGCACUUUCAGUGGGGAAGAAAGCCUUGGGGCUAAUACCCUCGAGGAAGGACAUCACCCACAGAAGAAGCACCGGCUAACUCCGUGCCAGCAGCCGCGGUAAUACGGAGGGUGCGAGCGUUAAUCGGAAUUACUGGGCGUAAAGCGCGCGUAGGCGGUCUGAUAAGCCGGUUGUGAAAGCCCCGGGCUCAACCUGGGAACGGCAUCUGGAACUGUCAGGCUAGAGUGCAGGAGAGGAAGGUAGAAUUCCCGGUGUAGCGGUGAAAUGCGUAGAGAUCGGGAGGAAUACCAGUGGCGAAGGCGGCCUUCUGGACUGACACUGACGCUGAGGUGCGAAAGCGUGGGUAGCAAACAGGAUUAGAUACCCCAG
This 460-nucleotide ribosomal RNA is filed under the name Vreelandella stevensii. RNAcentral's name for it is "partial 16S ribosomal RNA". It matches the Rfam family "Bacterial small subunit ribosomal RNA", at positions 338 to 790 of the family's 1533-position model. Lineage: Bacteria; Pseudomonadati; Pseudomonadota; Gammaproteobacteria; Oceanospirillales; Halomonadaceae. The record is from RNAcentral.